AUGGAUCGAGGUUGGAUGAGUCAACCAAGAGCUAGUGCUGCUUACAAAGAUGAUGUCGAGCAAUUUCUGUCUUUUGCAUUCCGUGAUGUUCCGGCUGGUGAUAGAAUUCUUUGUCCUUGUGUAAAUUGCCGAAAUAAAGCUAUGCAGAGUUAUGAUGGAGUGAAGACUCACUGGAGAUGUGAUGGUAUUCUUCAAGGUUACACUAAGUGGGUUUGCCAUGGAGAGGAUUACAUUGAACCAUCAUUUGCAUUUGCUCAUGUAUCAGUGUCUUUUUUUCGUACUACUUCAGGGCACAACCCAAGUGUACUUGGGUUUUAA
RNAcentral lists this ribosomal RNA (318 nucleotides) under Triticum aestivum (bread wheat). RNAcentral describes it as "partial small subunit ribosomal RNA". Lineage: Eukaryota; Viridiplantae; Streptophyta; Magnoliopsida; Poales; Poaceae. The record is from RNAcentral.